This 329-nucleotide unclassified non-coding RNA is filed under the name Hevea brasiliensis (rubber tree). Lineage: Eukaryota; Viridiplantae; Streptophyta; Magnoliopsida; Malpighiales; Euphorbiaceae. The record is from RNAcentral.
GGACUUUUGUUACAAGAAAAACAAAAACAAAGGAAUAAUAAAUUAUAGUAUUUCAAAUACUACAUGAGAAGCUAGAGCCCAAAUGUAUACAAGUUACAACGAGAGAGAAUGGGCCAAAUUGGCAGUUCAUAGUCAGAAUAAACUAAUACAAGUCUAGUUGAAAAGCUUGCCGAUCAGUUAGUAUUGGACAAAUUAACGAGGAGACAUAUUUUCCAAAACAUUUUGUCUACCUUUUUUUUUUCUUCUAAUUUCAAACCAAGAGCCUUAGGUAAUAUAUAUGAAGUAUUAAGAAUAUCAACCCUUUAAUCUACACAUUAUCUUAAAAAAAA